This is a long non-coding RNA of Paramormyrops kingsleyae, 1651 nucleotides long. RefSeq lists it as uncharacterized. NCBI's taxonomy places the organism in Eukaryota, Metazoa, Chordata, Actinopteri, Osteoglossiformes, Mormyridae. The record is from RefSeq and is a predicted model, not a curated record.
CUUCUUGGGGGUCCGGCCCCCAAGGAGACUGUCUGGUAAAACUCUGGCCCUCUGACAAAUAUAGUUGAUGACCCCUGACGUAUCGCUCUUACUCUCCUCACUGAGCAGCGGGUGCUGCCGUGGGUUCCGCUCCCAUCUCAAAGCAUUCACAGGUGGACAGUCCUCACGCAGCAGCCCCGCCCAGCUGCAGUCAGAACAGGAGAUGUUCACCUUUCCGUGUCCAGACUGCAAAUGAAUCACGCAUGCGCAAAGCCACCACUGGCUGAUCCUGCUCUGGCUCAUUGCCAAAGACUCUGCCAAGUAAACGGUUAAAUGACAGUUUUCAAGAAUAAGUAACUCCGCCAGAGUGUCUCUUUGGGAACACUUUUGCCAGUCCCAAGCCCGGAUAUAGGAGGAGGGUUGGAAUUGUGAUAUAAAAAAACAAGAAUCGACAGAAGAAAGUUCAUUUGUAGUUCUAAAUGUAUUUAGGGUGUUUUUUAACCACCCUUUGUCUCUCCAACGACAUUACUCCUCUCUCCUACAGCAUCCAUUAUAAUUGCAUGCACAUUAUGCAAAUUAGGCGAUGGCGUCAUUUAGCGACUUCUAGUGACUUUUGGGACAACCAAUAGCGACUUUCCUUGCUGAGGAGUUGCCAAUAGUGAGACUGGCUUGACUUCAAGAAGACGAGACAUUAAACAUUGACCCAGAGCCAAUACACAUAUACUGUUAAGUUGCUUGUAAUUAUUACGAGCAAUGACAUCGGUAGAGGCGUAAGUCAGUAUAUCUACUAUUCUUUUACAAAAUGGCACACCCCAGACGUUCAGACAAACCAUUGUAGGUGAUGCUUGACCCAAAUCAGCCACCGGACCCGCAAACAUACCUGGGGUGUCCCCAAUUGGUUUCCAUAGAUUUCUGAAGACUGGCACACACAGAGAUCAUCACAACCCAAACUAAGUGGUUAUUAUCAAAAGAUGGUGAAGUGCCUGGAUUGACGGACAGAUGGCAGAGGGAGCACAACUGCAUGGGUAAUGCCAUAAAACCUUCAAAAAGCCUUUUAUUCCAAUUAAAUUAAUCAAACUAAGCAUUAAAUAACUACAUGCCACCACCACUAACUACUGGUGAAUAUUUGCCUUCACAAAUAAGUUUUUAUUCAUUCGUUAUUUUAGCAAAGCCCAAAGCUAAUUAAUGGGCAGAAAACACAUUACAGGGACCAAUUAUCUGACGUCGCCUGUCUGCAUCUGGCUGUCAGUCGAUGAAAACCUGAUCUGUUUACACUAGGCUUUAUCUGAAGAGCAGAUCAACCCGGACAUUCACUUGGGCUUUAUAAUGAGCACUCUAUAUUCAGCAUUAAAGGAGCAUAGUCUUCCUUCAUUACAGCACUUUCACAACCCUCAUAUAGAAAUUAUCCAGUAUUAAUUGAACAAUCCGACAAUGGACAGGAAAGAGUGGUGAACCACUGAAAUGGUAUUUUCAGACCCCCCCAUUUUUAAUGAACACAACACACUUCUGAGCAAAACGACCAACACCACAAAUGUCCCUGUCACAGUGUCUGGCAACCAUGUAAAACACCCAGAAUGCAAUGUUCUCCCAGAAUGUUUUCGCUGACUAACUAGAGCCAAGCCCAGGCGGCAGGCAAACCGGCAUAACCGACCGCCUGCUAGUCGCCUAGAGU